RNAcentral lists this ribosomal RNA (406 nucleotides) under Bothriocroton tachyglossi. Its description in RNAcentral is "partial large subunit ribosomal RNA". The stretch from base 126 to 406 matches the Rfam family "Bacterial large subunit ribosomal RNA", at positions 2078 to 2609 of the family's 2925-position model. The record is from RNAcentral. Lineage: Eukaryota; Metazoa; Arthropoda; Arachnida; Ixodida; Ixodidae.
UAUACAAAGGUACCGAAAUAAGGCUUUAAUUGAGCGCUAAGAGAAUGGAAUUUCAAAAAAAAUCUUUUUUGAAAUUAAUUAAUUAAAGUUAUUUUUAUUUGUGAAGAAACAAUAAUAGAAAUUAAGGACAAGAAGACCCUAAGAAUUUUAGGGAUUAUUCUUAAAGUUAAUAGAAUAAAUCCAUUUAAUUGGGGCGAUUUUAAAAAAUAAUUAACUUUUGGGGAAAAAAAAAGAUCCAUUAAUAGUGAUCAUUUGGUAAAAUACUCUAGGGAUAACAGCGUAAUAAUUUUAGAUAGUUCAUAUAGAAAAAAUAGUUUGCGACCUCGAUGUUGGAUUAGGAUACUAAUUUAAUGAAGAAGUUAAAUUGAGAAGUUUGUUCAACUUUUAAUAUCCUACAUGAUCUGAG